This 101-nucleotide non-coding RNA is filed under the name Heyndrickxia ginsengihumi. Its description in RNAcentral is "Bacillus ginsengihumi TPP sequence". It matches the Rfam family "TPP riboswitch aptamer (THI element)". From Rfam's summary of the family: Vitamin B(1) in its active form thiamin pyrophosphate (TPP) is an essential coenzyme that is synthesised by coupling of pyrimidine and thiazole moieties in bacteria. The record is from Rfam by way of RNAcentral. Lineage: Bacteria; Bacillati; Bacillota; Bacilli; Caryophanales; Bacillaceae.
GUUAAAUAGCAGGGGAGCUUAAGGCUGAGAGGAUGUAUUCAAUCAUCGACCCUUAACCUGAUCUGGGUAAUGCCAGCGUAGGGAGUUCGUCAAAGUAUCAA